ACUCCUGCGGGAGGCAGCAGUGGGGAAUUUUGGACAAUGGGCGAAAGCCUGAUCCAGCAAUGCCGCGUGUGUGAAGAAGGCCUUCGGGUUGUAAAGCACUUUUGUCCGGAAAGAAAUCCUUGGCUCUAAUACAGUCGAGGGAUGACGGUACCGGAAGAAUAAGCACCGGCUAACUACGUGCCAGCAGCCGCGGUAAUACGUAGGGUGCGAGCGUUAAUCGGAAUUACUGGGCGUAAAGCGUGCGCAGGCGGUUUGCUAAGACCGAUGUGAAAUCCCCGGGCUCAACCUGGGAACUGCAUUGGUGACUGGCAGGCUAGAGUAUGGCAGAGGGGGGUAGAAUUCCACGUGUAGCAGUGAAAUGCGUAGAGAUGUGGAGGAAUACCGAUGGCGAAGGCAGCCCCCUGGGCCAAUACUGACGCUCAUGCACGAAAGCGUGGGGAGCAAACAGGAUUAGAAACCCUAGUAGUCCCAUGAU
This 475-nucleotide ribosomal RNA is filed under the name uncultured organism. Its description in RNAcentral is "partial 16S ribosomal RNA". It matches the Rfam family "Bacterial small subunit ribosomal RNA", at positions 335 to 801 of the family's 1533-position model. The record is from RNAcentral.